RNAcentral lists this ribosomal RNA (1141 nucleotides) under Glossina brevipalpis S-endosymbiont. Its description in RNAcentral is "bacterial SSU rRNA". It matches the Rfam family "Bacterial small subunit ribosomal RNA", at positions 79 to 1217 of the family's 1533-position model. Lineage: Bacteria; Pseudomonadati; Pseudomonadota; Gammaproteobacteria; Enterobacterales; Bruguierivoracaceae. The record is from RNAcentral.
GCUUCUUUGCCGGCGAGCGGCGGACGGGUGAGUAAUGUCUGGGGAUCUGCCCGAUGGAGGGGGAUAACUACUGGAAACGGUAGCUAAUACCGCAUAACGUCGCAAGACCAAAGUGGGGGACCUUCGGGCCUCACACCAUCGGAUGAACCCAGAUGGGAUUAGCUAGUAGGUGGGGUAAUGGCUCACCUAGGCGACGAUCCCUAGCUGGUCUGAGAGGAUGACCAGCCACACUGGAACUGAGACACGGUCCAGACUCCUACGGGAGGCAGCAGUGGGGAAUAUUGCACAAUGGGGGAAACCCUGAUGCAGCCAUGCCGCGUGUGUGAAGAAGGCCUUCGGGUUGUAAAGCACUUUCAGCGGGGAAGAAGGCGUUAGCGUUAACAGCGCUAUCGAUUGACGUUACCUGCAGAAGAAGCACCGGCUAACUCCGUGCCAGCAGCCGCGGUAAUACGGAGGGUGCAAGCGUUAAUCGGAAUUACUGGGCGUAAAGCGUACGCAGGCGGUCUGUUAAGUCAGAUGUGAAAUCCCCGGGCUUAACCUGGGAACUGCAUUUGAAACUGGCAGGCUAGAGUCUCGUAGAGGGGGGUAGAAUUCCAGGUGAAGCGGUGAAAUGCGUAGAGAUCUGGAGGAAUACCGGUGGCGAAGGCGGCCCCCUGGACGAAGACUGACGCUCAGGUACGAAAGCGUGGGGAGCAAACAGGAUUAGAUACCCUGGUAGUCCACGCCGUAAACGACGUUGAUUUGAAGGUUGUGGCCUUGAGCUGUGGCUUUCGGAGCUAACGCGUUAAAUCGACCGCCUGGGGAGUACGGCCGCAAGGUUAAAACUCAAAUGAAUUGACGGGGGCCCGCACAAGCGGUGGAGCAUGUGGUUUAAUUCGAUGCAACGCGAAGAACCUUACCUACUCUUGACAUCCAGAGAACUUGGCAGAGAUGCCUUGGUGCCUUCGGGAGCUCUGAGACAGGUGCUGCAUGGCUGUCGUCAGCUCGUGGUGUGAAAUGUUGGGUUAAGUCCCGCAACGAGCGCAACCCUUAUCCUUUGUUGCCAGCGAUUUGGUCGGGAACUCAAAGGAGACUGCCGGUGAUAAACCGGAGGAAGGUGGGGAUGACGUCUAGUCAUCAUGGCCCUUACGAGUACGGCUAC